GAGCGGGGGCGGGGCCCUGGGGGCGGGCUCUGCGGCCUGUGGCUGCAGAGGGACGCAAGAGCAUAAACUGAAAUCCCACAUCCCCGUGGAGGAACUUGGGGAUAAGAUGCAAAGCGCAGCAAAUAGGAGCCACUCUUUCAGAGAUGACAGACCACCUGGUUUCGAGGAGCAGCAGACAGCGUGAAUGAAUGAAGUUGGCCAGGUAAAGAACUGAAAUGCAGACAGGAAAUGGGACUUGCCUGACAUGGAGCAGGUGGUAGGUGGCAGAGGAAGAUUGGCCACUCCAUAACCUGUGCUCUCUCCAAUUCUCUGGACUAACUGUCCAUACAGAUGAUUGCCCUGGGACUGAGCUUAGGGAUUUCCAAACUCUUGCUAUUUAACAACUGUCAAAGACUGAGAAACAGGGCUUAUAUUUUAUUCAAGCUACCCAGAAUAGGGCCUCUCUCUAAUCUAUACUUCCUUUUCGGGGAAGAGAUAUUUGGCUUCAGGCAGCAGUAGCGCCUGCUCCCUAGGGAAGUGGUUAGAGGUACCCACUUCCCCAUAUCAGCAGAAACAAAACAGGCAGGAGUCUCUCUGCUUGAGGAUCUGCCUAAAUAGGGAAGUGAGAAUUGGCAACCACUUCUCCCUCCACCAAUGGGAAUCCUAGAUGGAGGGAACUGGGUGGGAGAUGGCAGGGGUGGGCAGAGUGGCAGCAUUUCUGUUUCUUAAAUCCAUAACUCCAUCUUCAGACACUUGAUUCCACAGCCAUGUUCUGUGUGUUGACUGGAAUCACCUGGGAAGUUUUAGUCCUGUGAUACCACCUGGAACCACGGACAGAGUGAGGACACAGCAAGAAGAUGAUCAUCUGCAAGCCAAGAAGAGGGGUCUCACCAGAAUCCUAUAAUGCUGGCACCCUGAUAUUUUACUUUC
This 909-nucleotide long non-coding RNA is filed under the name Homo sapiens (human). RNAcentral describes it as "HSALNT0114806". Lineage: Eukaryota; Metazoa; Chordata; Mammalia; Primates; Hominidae. The record is from RNAcentral.